GAGCGGAGGGGUGGGGCAGAGAGAAGGAGAGAGAGGAUCCCAAGCAGGCUCUGUGCUGAUGCAGGGCUUGAACCCAUGAACUGUGAGAUCAUGACCUGAGCCAAAACCAAGAGUCCAACGCUUAACCGACUGAGCCACCCAGGCACCUCUGGAGUGGGCACUCUAAAGGAGGAAACCCACGUUUGGGCCCAAUGAAGUAAGGAAUCAGCCUAGGAGUGCAUGGCAACAUAGCAAAGUCUUAGAAGGGUCUUUGGGAUCAGAGAAAGCUUAAUUCAGAUCUCAAUUUAUUACUUGCCACCUGGGUGACCCAACAUAUAUUACUUAAUCUUUCUAACCUCUUACCUCAUCUGUAAAUUGACAUAAAUAAUACCUACCUCAAAGUGCUGUGGUGUGGAUGACAUUACAAAAUGCAGGUGAAUUUCCCAAGCACGGUACCUGCCUCCUGGCUGUUGCCACCUGCCCCUUCCUUAGUGUGUGCUCCUCGUGGUGAGGACAGGGCUUCCCUCUCUUAGGUUUUGUUGAAUCUGCAAAAAGAGGAGGAGAGCUAAGGAUUAUCAGCAAGUUCCACACUGCAUUCUAAAGGCUGGUUUCAUGGUGACUGUAGAGUAGGGAACAGCAUUUAAAUCGCACAUUUGUAUUCGCCUCUCCCCGAAUAUGGCAAAGCAGGAAAUACUGUGUGCCAUAUAAUUCAUAAAAUGCACUGUCACUUUGCAGCCAAGAACGUGGGAUGUCAAACAGAUAGGAAUGCCAGGCUGUACGCUCCUGUCAGACCUGGAGGGAACAGAGCUCAGGAGAAAGGGGAAUUUGCUGGGGGUGGAGGGAACAGGAGAAAAUAAUGGGAACUCUCUUCUCUCUUCUGCUCUGACAAGUUUGGAUUUUAAAUGAUUUGGGGGCAGAGUUCACAUCUAUUACCUCCCUUUUUAUAGUUUCUAGAAGAUUAUUGAAUAAUAUUAGCCGUAUUUGGUGAUUACAGUGAAGAAAUGUCACGUAGGGCCUCCGAGAAGCCCUCUGUCUCUGAGAGUGGCCAGGACGACUUUUUGCCGGAAGCCUCUGUCUUCUCUCCCGGGGAAGCGAUGGAUGGAGUCUGAUCAUAAUUAAUUUUAAUAGAGACCUAUCGUGAUGCGAUAGAAUCUUGGCCAUUCAAAUGAAGCAGAGCCAGCUGGCCAGCUUGGACGAAAAUCAUCUCAGUUCUCCCUCACCACUGGCUUUAGAACGAAUCAAGUCCAGUUGGAAAGUAUUUCUUUCUUGAGGGAUUUGGAGCCUCGCACUAUAAAGAGGCAUAUGACGUUCGCCAUCUGAAUUGGACAGGUAUGAAACAUGAUAAAAAAAAUAAUAGCUACCGUCUGUUGAGCCCCUGACUUGUGCCGUGCAUCGAGUUACAUGCUCAGGGUACAUUAUCUCUAAUUCAUGACUUCUUUCCACAAAUGUUUCUUGAGUGCCUUAUGUGUCAGGCUUUCUAGUUGCUGGGAAUACCACAGGUCACCGGGAAGAGGAAGUCUCUGCCUUUGGGGAACCACAUUCUUGUGGUUACAAGCAAGUGAGUAUAUAGUAUCAUUUCGGGUGAUGGUAAGUGUUAUGAGGAACAGUAGAGCAGGGUAAAGACACAAAGCAGGAUUCUGGUGUGUGUGUGGGGGAGGGCAUUUUAUUUUAUUUUUUAAUAUUUAAAAAAAAGGUUUAUUUAUUUUUGAGAGAGAGAGGGAGAGAGCAAGAGAGCGUGAGUGGGGGAGGGGCAGAGAGAGAGAGAGAGGAGACAGAGGAUCUCAAGCAGGCUCUGCGCUGACAGCAGAGAGCCCGACGCAGGGCUGGAACUCACGACCCGUGAGAUCAUGACCCGAGCCGCAGUCAUACGCUUAACCAACUGAACCACCCAGGCUCCUCUUUAAAAUUGUAUUUCUAGAUAGUCUCUAGACUGAAUGUGGGUCGCAAACUUGUAAGCCCAAGCUCAAGAGUCACGUGCCUACCACUGAGCCGGCCAGGGGCCCCUGUAGGGGACAUUUUAGGGCAGGCCUCUCCAGAAGGAUGGAGAGGGGACCCACAAGGUACGCAACUACCAGAGGAGGAGUGCCCCCAGGCAGAGAGAACAGCAAGAGAGACAGGCCGGUAUGAACCAUGUAGGGCCUUGAAGGGAAAAGAUCAGCUUUUCAGAUUUCAUUCUGAGGACAAUGGGAAGCUCUCCGGAAAUCAGGAGCUGGGGAGAGUUCUCUGGAAAGGGACUCUGAGCUGCAGAUCCGCCCACAGAAGCAGUUCUCUCUCGGUUGUGAGCAUGUGAGAGAAGCAGGACAGGGGAGAUCACAAAGAUCUCAGCUGACCCGCCGGAGGCUCUAAGGCUGGAAUGACCCUUCAGAGUUUUCCCAGAUUGCGGCAAAGGGCUGGACCUUGUAAGCUGGCCUCAACCAAUUGAUGUCUCCUGACAGGGGUUUCAAAUCCGGGCAAGGCAGCCCCCUUCGGGGCUGACACCUGAGAGGUUUGCCGCUCUGGGCCACUGGCUGCCAACACCCCAGCCACUGGGGCCAUGACACUGCAGUCCCCAAAAGCGUACCUGGGUGGCACAUCCCCAGCACCCUCUAUAGAUCCCUUCAUGUUUUAAUGUUUUAAUUCUCUCAACACCCCUCCAAGCUAAGCGUUCUUUUUUUUUUUUUUUUUAAUGUUUAUUUAGUUUUGAGAGACAGAGAGAGAGAAGUGAGCAGGGGAGGGGCAGCGAGAGAGGGAGACACAGAAUCCGAAGCGGGCCCCGGGCUCUGAGCCAUCAGCACAGAGCCCGACGUGGGGCUCGAAUCCUUGAACCGUGAGAUCAUGACCUGAGCCGAAGUUGGAUGCCCAACUGACUGAACCACCCAGGCGCCCCCAACUUAAGCAUUCUUAUUUCGUCUCGGAGACUGAGAGAGCAACCUGUUGAAGGUCACAUACCUACCAGAUGUUGGAUUUGAACUUAGGUCUGAGUCCAAAGACCAGGUACUUAAAAAAAAAACUGGUAAAAGACGCACACCGCACAACUCAUCAUUUUCGCUAUCUUUAAGUGAACAGCUCAGCAACAAGUACAUUCACACUGUUGAUCAGCCAUGACCACCGUCCAUCUCUAAGAGCUUCUUUGAUCUUGCAGAACUGAAUCUCUGUGCCCAUUAAACGAUAACAUAACAAUAACAUUGAUAUUAAACACACACUCCCCAUUCCUCUCUCCCUCCAGCCCCUGGAAACCAUCCUUCUACUUUCUGUCUCUAUGAAUUUGACAGCUCUGGUGUCCUUUUGUGCCUGACUUAUUUCACUUAGCAUAAUGGCCUCGAGGUUCAUCCAUGUUGCAGCAGGGGUCAGAGUUUCCUUCUUUUUAAAGGCUGAAUAAUAGUCCAUUUUGUGUAUGUACCAUGUUUUGUCUGUUCUUCUGUUGAUGGGCGUAUGGCUUGGUUCUCCCCUUUGGCUCUUGUGAAUAACACUGUGAACACUGGUGUACAAA
This is a long non-coding RNA of Neofelis nebulosa (Clouded leopard), 3448 nucleotides long. RefSeq lists it as uncharacterized. The transcript is spliced from 2 exons. The record is from RefSeq and is a predicted model, not a curated record. NCBI's taxonomy places the organism in Eukaryota, Metazoa, Chordata, Mammalia, Carnivora, Felidae.